This is a long non-coding RNA of Micropterus salmoides (largemouth bass), 468 nucleotides long. RefSeq lists it as uncharacterized. NCBI's taxonomy places the organism in Eukaryota, Metazoa, Chordata, Actinopteri, Centrarchiformes, Centrarchidae. The transcript has 3 exons. The record is from RefSeq and is a predicted model, not a curated record.
UUGGUGUUUCUCUUCAGGCUUUGUCCGGUCAUUGUUGGUGUUACCCCCCUGUCAGUCGUGGCUUCAGUCUCCCAGUCUCAUCCAGUGUUUUGUCUUGCUAUUUUCUGCUCUUGGUGUUUUGGAUUACCUGUGUUGGAUUUUUGUUUCGUUUCUCAUUUGGCUUUUUCUGGGCUCAGCCACUCACUAUCACUGCGGAGCCACAAUGAGUUGGCAGACUCUCUGAAAAACUUCAGAGUCAUCCAGAGGAAAAACUGCUGCGCUGCCUUUCUCCUCAAGUGAGCCCUCUGCUGUGGAUCUCUGUGGAAAGCGGCUAUAGAGAGGGUCUGAAUCCCUAAAAUGUUGUCUCUGUGCAUCGUUGCUGACUUCAGUGGUGUUGAGCUUACUGUUUGCUUAUGGCACAGUAGGCUUAUUUGUGGUACUGUAACUUGUGUCAGUGCAUUUUUAUAUAAAUAUGACACUGGUCAAAUC